UUGAAAAGAAUUCGUCCUCGAAUUCAGCCCUGCAUCAAUAAAGGAGAAAGAUUAGAAAUAUUGAAUGUAGCACUAACGCUAUACUCACCUAACAGUUCAAUUUUGUAGGCGUUAUUGUUGAUCCGCUCUAACACCUUGAAUGGACCAUCACACCUUGGAUGCAGUUUCGAUUUCCGUUGGUUUGGAAAUCGUUCCUUCCUGAAAUGUGCCCACACUAAGUCACCUAGCUCAAAAAUAAGUACCUCGCGGCCUUUGUUAGCAUAAGAAGCAUAUUGUGCAUUUUUCCUUUCAAUGUAUGCCCUAGCUUGCUCAUGUUAUUUCUUAACCAAUUCAGCCUUUUUCUUACCAUCUAAACUAUC
Molecule: unclassified non-coding RNA, 359 nt
Filed under: Hevea brasiliensis (rubber tree)
Lineage: Eukaryota; Viridiplantae; Streptophyta; Magnoliopsida; Malpighiales; Euphorbiaceae
Source: RNAcentral